CGGGCAUGUGGCUCGCCGGCUGGGCCUGGCGCUCGUGGCGCCGGUUCGUCGCCGCGCUGGUCGCGGCGGUGCUCCUCGGC
Molecule: transfer RNA, 80 nt
Filed under: Pimelobacter simplex
Lineage: Bacteria; Bacillati; Actinomycetota; Actinomycetes; Propionibacteriales; Nocardioidaceae
Description: tRNA-Thr
Source: RNAcentral